AGGCAUAAUAGCCUGUUUCCCAGCAAGCACCGUGCCUGAUUGUUUCGUCUGGAAAAUGGCGGCUGGGACGGGUAAGCACAAGCUGCUGAGUGCUGGACCUACAGAACCAUGGUCUAUCCGGGAGAAACUGUGCUUGGCUUCUUCUGUCAUGCGGAGUGGGGACCAGAACUGGGUGUCUGUCAGCAGAGCCAUCAAACCCUUUGCAGAGCCAGGCCGCCCACCUGAUUGGUUUUCUCAGAAGCACUGUGCAUCCCAGUAUUCUGAGCUCCUGGAGACAACAGAGACACCUAAAAGAAAGCGUGGUGAGAAAGGAGAAGUGGUGGAAACUGUGGAAGAUGUUAUUGUGAGAAAACUAACAGCAGAACGGGUUGAGGAGCUGAAGAAGAUGAUUAAGGAGGCACAAGAGAAGUACAGGCAGCUGAAGAGGGAUGCAGAACUGAUCCAGGCGGGGCACAUGGACCACAGACUGGAGGAACUGUACAAUGACAUUGUGAUGAAAAAAAGAAUGGAGGAAGAGGAGGCAGAGGUGAAGAGGAAAGCUACUGAUGCUGCUUAUCAAGCUCGCCAGGCAGUUAAGAAUCCAUCACGAAGAGUACCAGGAAUGAUGGUCCGCUCUCCAGCAGGCUCAACUUCACCAGGAGGAGACUACACUCUAGGGGAUUUGUCUCAGCCCACUGUGGAAGAGGCUAGUCCAGGGGUAACUCCAGGGACAUUGCCCAACACCCCAGUUGCCUCCUUCAUUGGGAUCCCUGACACCCCUAUGGGCUCCACCUCACUGGAUGCCCCCAUGACCCCAGUCACAGAUGAUUCAACCCAGAAAAAGAUGCUAGGACAGAAAGCAACUCCGCCUCCUUCUCCUCUGCUUUCAGAGCUGCUGAAGAAAGGCAGCCUCCUGCCCACAAGCCCCAGGCUGGUUGGUGAGAGUGAGAUGACAGUGGUUUCUGGUCAUACAAGUAGCUCUGGUAUCCUCCUUGAUGUGGGAGGGGUCCUUCCAGUGCUGCACGGUAGUGAAAUGCAGUUAGCUUCUACGACUGUUCCUGCGUCUCCUGCUGCUUCUGGUGCUCCUACUCUUUCCCGCCUUUUAGAAGCUGGUCCAGCACAGUUCACCACAUCGCUUGCUUCCUUUUCUGCUGUCACCAGUGAACCUCCAGCCAAACUUCUGCCUCCCCCUGUAGAAUCUGUGUCUCAGACAACUAUAGUCACGGUUCCCACACUACCAGCACCAGCUGCUGUGCCACCAACCGCCGCUCCUGAAAGUGUAGCGUCAGGCUUUCACUUGACUUGUCACUCUUGUCCAGUGAGUCAGCCCAACGCAUGUGUUUCCAUGGAGGCAUUGCCCGAUCCUCACUCUGUGACAGUGUCAAUGGACAGCAGUGAAAUUUCCAUGAUCAUUGAUUCCAUCAAGAAAGAAUGCCUGGGCUCUGGGGCAUCUGUUGCUGUAGGGACUUCCAAAGACCACAGCAUGGAUGGAAAGGAAGACCUUGAUCUGGCUGAGAAGAUGGAUAUUGCAGUUUCCUAUGCAGGGGAGGAGCCUUCCUACACUGGAGAAGAACUGGACUUUGAGACUGUUGGGGAUAUCAUAGCCAUAAUUGAGGACAAGGUGGAUGACCAUCCUGAAGUCUUGGAUGUAGCAGCAGUUGAGGCUGCUUUGUCUUUUUGUGAAGAAAUCGAAGAUCCCCAGUCACUGACUAGUCCCUGGGAGCAUCCAAUCCAACGAGAACAUCCAAUCCAGCAGGAACAUGAGAAACAGAAUCAGAUUCCUCAGAUGACUGUGACCAUAAAGCAAGAGAGAGCUGACUGUGAUGAAUCUGAAGCUAAGGGGAUCAGAGAUCUAAUGAGCAUUGUGGAUCUGGGGACAGAAAUAAAAACAGAGCCUGCAGAGCAAGAACAGAUACAUUUGGGCCCUGAGGAAAUGACGAGAACAAAUGAAGCCCCUGAAUUGAGGGGCCACAUCUCUGAAAAUGAGCAGGCUGGAAUUGCUGGUGUUCCAAGCUCUGAAAUGGAGAUGGAAUCUACAAAGGAGGAAGUGCAUCAUAGCACAGUGAAGACAGAGCUUCCCCUUGAUGAAGAGACUUCCUCUCCCCAUGCUCCAAGUGCAAGUGAAGACUCCUCACAGACAGACCUUCACCACAAAUAUGAGCUUUCAGAAUCAAUGAAGGAGGAAGCCCAAGCUCUUUUUGAGAGCCAGAUGAAGGAUGCUCAGGGUGAAGAGGAUGAGGAGGAUGGUGCCAGCGAGGCUGCCAGUCUGGAGGAACCCAAAGAGGAAGAUCAGGGUGAGGGGUAUCUUUCAGAAAUGGACAAUGAGCCCCCUGUGAGUGAGAGCGAUGAUGGCUUCAGUAUCCAUAAUGCACCUUUGCAGUCUCACACACUGGCUGACUCCAUCCCCAGCAGCCCUGCCUCCUCACAGUUCUCUGUUUGUAGUGAGGAUCAGGAGGCCAUUCAAGCCCAGAAAAUUUGGAAAAAAGCAAUUAUGCUGGUUUGGAGAGCGGCAGCCAAUCACAGGUAUGCCAAUGUCUUCUUGCAGCCAGUGACUGAUGAUAUAGCACCAGGAUACCACAGUAUUGUACAGAGGCCAAUGGAUUUAUCAACCAUUAAAAAAAAUAUUGAAAAUGGGCUGAUCCGGACCACAGCAGAGUUCCAACGAGAUAUCAUGCUAAUGUUCCAGAAUGCUGUUAUGUACAACAGUUCUGACCAUGAUGUGUACCACAUGGCUGUGGAAAUGCAGCGAGAUGUCUUGGAGCAGAUUCAGCAAUUUCUAGCCACACAGCUGAUCAUGCAGACGUCUGAGUCUGGGAUCAGUGCAAAAAGUCUGCGUGGACGAGAUUCCACUCGGAAACAAGAUGCUUCAGAGAAGGACAGUGUCCCCAUGGGCUCUCCUGCUUUCCUCCUUUCUCUCUUCGCAGAACAGCCCAUGAGGGAAGGCAGCCAAUUGGAGAGGGCAGCAGAUGGAAGUAAACUCUCUCAGUGCCCUACAUUCAUGGAAAGCCACUUUGAGGAGAUGCUAGGGAGAUAGUGCCAGGGCCACGCACGUGGAAGAGAACUUCUAUAAAGAUCAGCAGUUGGAUCAGGAUGGAGGAACUAGAGGACGACGUUGUGCUAUCGAAGCAGACAUGAAGAUGAAGAAAUGAAGCAGAAGGCAACAGGCCAGACAUGAAGAAAUGAAGCAGAGGGCAACAGACCAGACCCAAGGAUCAAAACCAGAACCUUCCUGAUACCAAGUGGAAAAUGCUACAGACAGGAAAGGGCAGCUUCUGGGUCUGGCCUGUCUCUACAAGAGAAUAGUUUUCUAGAAUGUGUUACCAGGGAAAAUCCCAGGAGAAGGCCAACACCCCCAUUGCCUGUUGUAAGGCAGCACUACUGGAACUCUGUUAGUGUCCUCCUGUUAGAUAGCAACUGGUGGCUAUUAUGUACUGUAAUGUGAAGUGUACAUAUUUUUUGUAUUAGUGGAGUGUAAAUGUGUAUAUUAAACUGUAGUAGAGAA
This is an RNA transcript of Heteronotia binoei (common prickly gecko), 3481 nucleotides long. It is a transcript of the gene named bromodomain containing 8, with no coding region annotated. The transcript is spliced from 23 exons. NCBI's taxonomy places the organism in Eukaryota, Metazoa, Chordata, Lepidosauria, Squamata, Gekkonidae. The record is from RefSeq and is a predicted model, not a curated record.